CUGCAAUCAGAAUUAAUAUGAACGUUUUAAAAAUUAUUUUAUACUGAAAUAAAUAAAUAUACAGGCUAAUAAGCCUGUAGCUAUAAGCGAUAGUUACUAAUUAAGUUUGUCACUCAUAUUUCCAUCUUGCAGAGGACCUCCGUAACGAGAUCAAAGAUGUACACCAGCUGUGCAGGGUGAAGAGGUUAUCUCAAACGCCCUUAAUUGGGCCACAGCCCAAUUAAGAGCGACUCAAAUGUCAUUACCGCUAAGUACUUCUUGCCAUUUGAGUCAGCAUGUUAGAGCUAGUCACUACGGAUUGUGGUGACACAGCACUGGACUGCCUGCAGAAGUUAAUCGCAUAUAGUCAUUUCACUAGCAAUGUGCCUGAGCCAACGGAGCCUUUGCGGUUGCUUCACCGGUCCACAGACCGAUGAGAGUGUGCAGCUGCAGAUUAUUAAAGCUCUGCUGACUGUAAUGACAAGCCAGCAUGUGGAGGUAUACGAGGAUGAUCAACGUGAUCUUCGCGCGAAUGGAGACUCAGGCGGAGGAAGAGAACGUGAGGCUUGAUGGGGAACAUCAGCAGGAGGGUUCUGUCAUAGCAAACGGCAAAACUGAAGCUGAGCUAAGUCUUAGUUAGCUAAGUCUAACUAGCUCAUCUAACAUCUUCAUGAAACUUUACGUUGCGUGCGUCUAUUUAAUGACGAUGGAUGUAGAAAGCUCUUCAAAUCACUUCGAGAGGAUUAUCAAAAGCGAUCUCCUUAUAUCGCAUAUUUAAUCAGAUGUCGUCAGGGAUUGCUGUCGACAUUAGCUCACUUAGAUAGAUUAUGCGUGCGAGUUAAGUGCGAUCGGGAUGCUAUCAAUAAUCAUCUUGUAUCCGUUUGUGUGAGGGUAUUUUUGAAAAAAAAGAAGGCUUUCCUCCUGCGUUUCUGCGAAGAGUUUAAAAAGCUUACGCUAGCUGACGAGAAACAGGAUCUCAUGGAUAAUUGUCUAGGGAAGGUCCAUGUGGAAAUGGACAACGAUCCGAUUUGGCAAUCGGCAAGCGCCAACCAGUUAGAUUUGGCGAGAGUCGUGGUGGAAAGAACCGUCAUGGCACGGAUAUACCACAAUGCGCUCUAUCUAAAUGAAGAUGGAGAUGUAUAUAGGGACCAGCUUUUUCACGGUCACAUCAAUAAGUUGGCAAAGGUCGUAACUCCAAAUCACAGGGAUACGCAUUUCAAAAGUUUAUCAUUACGAAUGCCCCUGGUCAUGGGCCCAGGCUGAAUUGGCUGUGAUAUCGGCGUAUAAGAUUCCUAGGGAUAAGUUGCAGUGUGUAUUUCAUUGCGCGACUACCAUCAUGAAUCUCUUCUCCAUGGCGUCGGAAAGAGACUAAUCCGCCGUCGUUGUAUCGACUGUUCAAUAUGUAGACAGCUUUUACGGGAAUCGAUUGGAGGGAGAGGAACAAUAUUGGUGGACGCAGUUCUGCGCCGCGAUCGAGUUAAGACAAUGGAUUAACAGUUUCUCAAGAGUAUCACGAUAAAUAAGAUUAGAUUCGAUGCUGGUGAUAAUGUAGAAAUGUAUCAUAAUCAUAAUUUGACGAUUUCAUAAAGAAGAAGACCAAUAUCUUGUGUAAAGCUAGCUGAACAGUUUUAUGCUGCCAGUAUCAAUUAAAAUUCUUAAAUAGCCUCUUAAAUAGUCUAACUGUUAGUUCUUUCGCACAUUAUUAUGUAACAUUAGCAAAGACUGAAUCAGAUUAUACGUAAAGUGUGGCUUUAUCUUUAUUUGUAACUCUAUUGUAUAAUUUCACAGGACAUCGAAAAAAAAAGAAACGUUUAGAUAUUCUAUAAUUUAUGUACAAUACAGAACUUAUAGAGAAUUCAUAACCAUUUAGCAGGCUAAACUCUGUUGGCGUACUCUUUCUACAUGCGCACCUUCCUCAAGAGCCGAGACUCGAACUAGAUCCGUGAAAAAUAUCGCCAAUUUCAUAGAGCUUUUGUACAGUUUUACUCUAGGAAUAUCGCGAGAGAAAGAAAGACUUCGGAGAUUUUUAUCUGAAUCGAUCGACAUAAAGAGAGCAUAGUAAAGAAGCUAUUAGCUUUCGAGAAUUUGAACGCAUAAUACUUUGUUAUAAUACUAUGAGCGAAUUAGUUUACGUCACUCUGUCAAGUUUUAAUAUCGAUAUCGGUAGUUUAAUAAUAAUACAUUUAAAAGCGCUCAAUUUAAAAUAAGUAGGGCAAUCCUAAUAAACGACUGUAAAAAAAAUUCAAGGUGGAACGCAAUGGACAAUCCGGUUGCUCUGACAUGCUAACUUAAAUGGCAAAAAGUACUUCUCAGCGGUAAUGACAUUUGAGUCUUUUAAUUGGGUUGGGCGUUUGAGAUGACCUGCUCUUCACCCUGCACAGCUGACGGACCUUCGGGAA
Temnothorax curvispinosus is the source of this 2378-nucleotide RNA transcript. It is a transcript of the gene named brefeldin A-inhibited guanine nucleotide-exchange protein 1-like, with no coding region annotated. The record is from RefSeq and is a predicted model, not a curated record. The transcript is spliced from 6 exons. NCBI's taxonomy places the organism in Eukaryota, Metazoa, Arthropoda, Insecta, Hymenoptera, Formicidae.